Molecule: long non-coding RNA, 617 nt
Filed under: Ananas comosus (pineapple)
Lineage: Eukaryota; Viridiplantae; Streptophyta; Magnoliopsida; Poales; Bromeliaceae
Description: long non-coding RNA (ACOM_LNC007539)
Source: RNAcentral
AUAUCAUAUAUUCAAUAAUUCACACAAACUUAUCUAUGCAGACCUAAGAUAUAAAUAUUCUUUAUUAUCAAAUUACCAACCAAAUGUGUAAUAUAUAUAUAUUAUCCGAUAAACAUCAUUCUCUGAUACCUUAAGCUUCUGGAAGAUAGCAAUUAGUUCAUUUAAUUUAACAUGGUGUUUGAGCAGGAGUUCAUGAGUUCGAAUUCCGCCAGAUUUCUAAUAUGUUAUAUCUUUGUAAUUAAAAGUUGGCGAGAGAAAGUACAAAUGGAAUGAGUCCGCCUACUAUACUCUUAUAAGUAUAGACUCCGUCGUACUCAUAAUUAAUAUUUCGGUUUAGAGCAAGUGACAAAAAGUUUGGUGGUUGGUACCCGAGGUCCCAAGUUCGAAUCCUAAUUAAUUCACAUUUCUAGCUAAGUUUAUUUCUAAAUAAAAUAAACAAAACGGGUAGCGUGCUACUUAUUUCUCAAAAAAAAGUAUUUCGGCCAUUAGAUCUACCCUCCACUAUCAUCCUAAUAGCACAUUACUUUAUCCAAACGGUCAAAAAUUUAUAAGUAGAAAAAAAAAAUUAUACUCAUAAAUAAGAGUAUAGCAGCACUAGUCCAUAUGGAAUUAUCUCU